CUCUCUCUCUCCGCGAGGAUCGGAAUCAGUUCUUUCACUUACGCUAGGAGCGACUGGGAGUCUGCGACACCACCGUCGUCGCCAGGCGGAGGAGAUGAUGGAGCUCACCGUAAUCUCUCCCCUCAACAACUCACUCUCUCUCUCUCAUCCUCAACGACGCCGCCUCACAGCCGCCUCGUGCGCGGGCUCGUCGAGCCUCUCCGAGGUCAGGGUCUGCACCAACCGCACUUGCCGCAAGCAGGGCUCGUUCCAGACCCUGGAGGCGCUCUCCGGCCUGGCCCCGCCCGGCGUCGCCGUCAAUGCCUGCGGUUGCUUGGGCCGGUGCGGCUCCGGCCCCAACCUCGCCCUCCUGCCCGAGGGCGUCAUCGUCAGCCACUGCGGCACCGCCGCGCGCGCCGCGCGGAUCUUCUGUGACGCUGACAAGGACGUGUUGAGGAACCUGGAGGCGCUUGCGCUGAGGAAGAGAGCCGAGAGCGAGCUGGAGAGGGGAAAUUUCUCCGAUGCCGAGGUCCUGCUAACUCAGGCUAUAGCAAUGAGUCCAUCUGGUGGGAUCCAUGUGAUGUAUAAAGACAGAUCUGUUGCGAGGUUGGGAAUGAGCAACUAUAGUGGGGCUCUGGAAGAUGCAAAAGAAGCGUCAACAUUAGCUCCUCAGUACACUGAGGCUUAUUUAUGUCAGGGUGAUGCUCUCAUGGCAAUGGAACAGUUUGAUGAAGCUGAGAAGUCCUAUUCCACGUCCUCACAGAUAGAUCCCUCCAUUCGUCGUUCCAGAUCAUUCAAGGAUCGAGUUGAAAGGCUUCAACAGAAACUAGCUGCUGCAGAUAUCUCUUGAAGAUUGGCUGUGGAGUUAUAAGUACCAAGUUAACGUGGAGUAACCAAAAUAAUCUGUUGGUUUACAGAUCUUAAUAAUUAGUGAAGCAAUUUGUUUGUUUGCCUUGUAUCCGCCAGUAAUAAAGAGGACUCACUAUCAUAAUUCCUCUAUAAUAUUGUUUUUACGAUAAUCAGUCUUCUUGUGUAAAUGUUGCUUCACUUUACUGCUGGUUUCAGAACUGAGAUCCUAUUCUUUAGUCCUCAUCAAUGUGCAGGAUUUGGCAUGCGGUGGUGUGAUUGGAUACAUACAAAAUUGUAUAGGUUAUACACUUAAAAUGAGCAUGCCAAGGGAUGAGAUAUAUUGCUUAGGUCUACCAAAGAAGCAUCCAGCGUUAACUUGCUAUUCUUCAGUUCAAGGAUAGAAUUUGCGAGAGCAUCUGCCCAUUGUCACUUCUGUAAGUGCAGUUUGGGUUUCUUGUAACGGACAUGAUAAAGAUGGAGAAGCUUUUGGUUUUUGAGUUUCUGUUGUGACAAGUUUAGCUGGUGGAGAGAGCAGGUUUCAUCCCCAUGCUAAGUUGGAACCAUAGCAGAGUAGAAAGACUACAUGUUGCUGAUACUCAUAUAAGGUAGAUAGCAAUUUGGAAGUUAUGCUGUUAUUAGUAUAUAAGAUUGAUUAAGUACUUGGCUUGCGGAAUCAUUCUGACUGCAUUGAAUGAUAAUUAACAACCUUUGCUGUUGCAAGUCCAUCAUCCAUGUUUUUGCUUUCA
RNA transcript from Rhodamnia argentea, 1574 nucleotides. It is a transcript of the gene named dnaJ homolog subfamily C member 7, with no coding region annotated. The transcript has 7 exons. The record is from RefSeq and is a predicted model, not a curated record. Lineage: Eukaryota; Viridiplantae; Streptophyta; Magnoliopsida; Myrtales; Myrtaceae.